CCUACGGGUGGCAGCAGUGAGGAAUAUUGGUCAAUGGACGCAAGUCUGAACCAGCCAAGUAGCGUGAAGGAUGACUGCCCUCUGGGUUGUAAACUUCUUUUAUCUGGGAAUAAAACAGGGUUUGCAUACCCUCUUGUAUGUACCAUAUGAAUAAAAAUAGGCUAACUCAGCGCCAGCCGACGCGGUAAUACGGUGGAUACGAGCGUUAUCCGGAUUUAUUGGGUUUAAAGGGAGCGUAGGGGGUUUGUUAAGUCAGUUGUGAAAGUUUGCGGCUCAACCGUAGAAUUGCAGUUGAAACUGGCAGGCUUGAGUACAGGAGAGGGGGGCGGAAUUCGUGGUGUAGCGGUGAAAUGCGUAGAUA
RNAcentral lists this ribosomal RNA (361 nucleotides) under uncultured bacterium. RNAcentral describes it as "partial 16S ribosomal RNA". It matches the Rfam family "Bacterial small subunit ribosomal RNA", at positions 338 to 696 of the family's 1533-position model. The record is from RNAcentral.